AGCAGCCGCGGUAAUUCCAGCUCCAAUAGCGUAUAUUAAAGUUGUUGCAGUUAAAAAGCUCGUAGUUGAAUUUCGGGGUUAGUAGGUUGGGUCAUGCCUCUGGUAUGUACUGGUCUCACUGAUUCCUCCUUCCUUAUGAACCGUAAUGCCAUUAAUUUGGUGUUGCGGGGAAUUUGGACUGUUACUUUGAAAAAAUUAGAGUGUUUAAAGCAAGCUAACGCUUGAAUACAUUAGCAUGGAAUAAUGAAAUAGGACGUUCGAUCUUAUUUUGUUGGUUUCUAGGAUUGACGUAAUGAUUAAUAGGGAUAGUUGGGGGCAUUAGUAUUCAAUUGUCAGAGGUGAAAUUCUUGGAUUUAUUGAAGACUAACUACUGCGAAAGCAUUUGCCAAGGAUGUUUUCAUUAAUCAAGAACGAAAGUUAGGGGAUCGAAGACGAUCAGAUACCGUCGUAGUCUUAACCAUAAACUAUGCCGACUAGGGAUCGGAUGAUGUUAAUUUUUAAUUGACUCAUUCGGCGCCUU
RNAcentral lists this ribosomal RNA (520 nucleotides) under uncultured Glomus. RNAcentral describes it as "SSU rRNA". It matches the Rfam family "Eukaryotic small subunit ribosomal RNA", at positions 569 to 1089 of the family's 1831-position model. Lineage: Eukaryota; Fungi; Glomeromycota; Glomeromycetes; Glomerales; Glomeraceae. The record is from RNAcentral.